This 363-nucleotide ribosomal RNA is filed under the name uncultured bacterium. Its description in RNAcentral is "partial 16S ribosomal RNA". It matches the Rfam family "Bacterial small subunit ribosomal RNA", at positions 338 to 698 of the family's 1533-position model. The record is from RNAcentral.
CCUACGGGAGGCUGCAGUGAGGAAUAUUGGUCAAUGGCCGGAAGGCUGAACCAGCCAUGCCGCGUGAAGGUCAGUGCCCUAUGGGCGGUAAACUUCUGUUGUGCGGGAGCAAUAAUGGUCACGUGUGGCCAGACGAGAGUGCCGUACGAAUAUGCAUCAGCUAACUCCGUGCCAGCAGCCGCGGUAAUACGGGUGAUGCAAGCGUUAUCCUGAUUUAUUGGGUUUAAAGGGUGCGUGUGCUGUGAGGUAAGUCAGCGGUGAAAUGCCCCCGCGCAAGGGGGUGAAGUGCCAGUGAUACUGGCAUGCUGGAGUGCGGAUGAGGUGGGAGGAAUGCGUGGUGUAGCGGUGAAAUGCAUAGAUAUA